Molecule: RNA transcript, 1935 nt
Organism: Prunus avium (sweet cherry)
Lineage: Eukaryota; Viridiplantae; Streptophyta; Magnoliopsida; Rosales; Rosaceae
Gene name: U3 small nucleolar ribonucleoprotein
Source: RefSeq, a predicted model, not a curated record
CCUCCCCAUCUAAAACCCUAAACCCCCAAACCGGAGCGAACCUGUCAGAAACAGGACACAAACCGAGCUCGCAUUCUCGCUCAGCCAUGGCGAUCAGUAGCGAAGCCCUGAACUCCCUGAAACUCACAGACCCAACGCAGUUACUGACGCCGAGCCCCGCGCUCUCCCAAACGGCUCGAACCGCCUUGCAGAACCUCUUCUCCUGCCUCAGACCGUUCACGCCCAAAUCGCCAUUCGAUCAGCUGUUAACAGACGGCUUCGACGCCGAGCAGAUAUGGCAGCAAAUCGACCUCCAAUCGCAGCCUCUCAUCUCGAGCCUCCGCCGAGAUUUGAAACGGUUCGAGAAAAACCCGGACGAGAUUAAGACGCUGAAGGUGCUUGUACAAGGCCAAGAGAAGGUUCUGGAAGCUGAAAAUGAGGGUUUAGAGAAGGAAAUCGAUGGUUCUGAUGAGGAAUUAGAUGAAUUAGAUGAAGACGAUGAGAAGGAGCAAGAGGAAGAAGAAGACGAAGAAGAAGGUGAAGAGAAUGAGAGUGAGGAUGAAGAGGAGGGAGAAGACAGUGAAGGUGAAGGUGAAGGUAAUAAUGGGAUAGAGGAUGGGUUUUUUAAGAUAAAGGAUUUGAAGAAGUCUUUGGAGGAUAGUGAAGCUAGGGAAUAUGGGUUAAGGAAGACUGAUAAGAAGAAGAAGAAGAAAAAGAAGAAAGGUAGCGAUGAUGAUGAGGAUGAAGAAGACGAAGAGGAAGACGAGGAUGAAGAAGAAGACGAGGAGCUUGGAGAUUUAGACAUUGGCGAUGAUGAGGAUGAAGAAGACGCAGACAAGUUUGCAAGAUAUGAAGACUUCUAUGGAGGAAAAAAGGAAAAACCUUCUAAACGAAAACCAAAAUUGGUUGAUGGAUCAAAAGAUUUGGGCAUAUACAAUGAGGAUGAGGAUGAAGAUGAAGAUGAUGAAGAUGAAGUUGAAGAAGAAGAAGAAGAUGAUGAUGAUGAUGAAGAUGAACAAAAAGAUGAGAAGAAGCAGACAACUCUUUCUACCCAUGAAACGAAGCUUCUGAAACUUCGUUCCGAAAUAGAUCAGAUGGAAAAAGCAAAUUUGGAGCCAAAAAAUUGGACCAUGCGAGGAGAGGUAACUGCAGAGAGAAGGCCAAAGAACAGUGCGCUAGAAGUUGAUCUGGAUUUUGAACACAAUGUUAGACCUCCCCCUGUAAUCACAGAGGAGGUUACAGCAUCGAUUGAGGAUAUCAUCCAGAAAAGAAUCGAGCAGGGGCGUUUUGAUGAUGUUCAAAAGGCUCCGACUUUACCCUCUAAAGCACCAAGAGAAAUUAAAGAGUUGGACGAGAAUAAGAGCAAGAAGGGUCUAGCUGAAGUCUAUGAGGAAGAGUACGUUCAAAAGACAAAUGUGGCUUCUGGUCCGUUGUCAUUCACAGACAAACAGAAGGAAGAGGCAAGCAAGCUGUUCAAGAAACUUUGCUUGAAGUUGGACGCUCUUUCUCAUUUCCACUUUACUCCAAAACCUGUUAUCGAGGAUAUGACUGUACAAGCUAAUAUCCCCGCUCUAGCGAUGGAAGAGAUUGCACCUGUGGCUGUGUCAGAUGCAGCAAUGCUAGCUCCCGAGGAAGUGUUUUCAGGCAAAGGUGACAUUAAAGAAGAAGCAGAACUUUCACAGGCAGAGAGAAAGAGGAGGAGAGCUAACAAGAAAAGGAAAUAUAAAGCUAGGGAAGCAAAAAGGACGACGAAGAAGCCACGAGACAGCUAAAAGGAUGGCUAAGAAGCCAUGACACAGCAAGGUGCUAUCAACGGUCGAUGGGAAGGAAGGAUAAUGAGAUGGUGCAUAAGUUUAACUUAAGCCGUGGUUGCAACUGGUUGACUGAUUAGAGAAGAGGAAAAGAAGAAGAGCAUGGUGUUAGGCGGCUAAGGUGGGAGAGUUCAUGUUGAAGAUC